GACGAACGCUGGCGGCGUGCUUAACACAUGCAAGUCGAACGGAAAGGCCCUGCUUUUGUGGGGUGCUCGAGUGGCGAACGGGUGAGUAACACGUGAGUAACCUGCCCUUGACUUUGGGAUAACUUCAGGAAACUGGGGCUAUAAUCGGAAAGGAGCUCUUGCUGCUUGGGGGGGGUUGGAAAGUUUCGGCGGUUGGGGAUGGACUGGCGGCUUAUCAGCUUGUUGGUGGGGUAGUGGCUUACCAAGGCUUUGACGGGUAGCCGGCCCGAGAGGGUGACCGGCCACAUUGGGACUGAGAUACGGCCCAGACUCCUACGGGAGGCAGCAGUGGGGAAUAUUGCACAAUGGGCGGAAGCCUGAUGCAGCAACGCCGCGUGCGGGAUGACGGCCUUCGGGUUGUAAACCGCUUUCGCCUGUGACGAAGCGUGAGUGACGGUAAUGGGUAAAGAAGCACCGGCUAACUACGUG
This 468-nucleotide ribosomal RNA is filed under the name uncultured bacterium. Its description in RNAcentral is "partial 16S ribosomal RNA". It matches the Rfam family "Bacterial small subunit ribosomal RNA", at positions 28 to 507 of the family's 1533-position model. The record is from RNAcentral.